ACUGACUGCUAUCGGAUUGGUACUAAGCCAUGUGAGUAUUGUAGCAAUACAAGGCAGACGGCUCAGUAACACGUAGCCAACCUACCCUAUGGACGGGGAUAACCUCGGGAAACUGAGGAUAAACCCCGAUAGAUCAUAAUGCCUGGAACGGUUUAUGGUCCAAAUGAUUCGUCGCCGUAGGAUGGGACUGCGGCCUAUCAGCUUGUUGGUGAGGUAAUGGCCCACCAAGGCUAUUACAGGUACGGGCUCUGAGAGGAAAAGCCCGGAGAUGGGUACUGAGACACGGACCCAGGCCCUAUGGGGCGCAGCAGGCGAGAAACCUUUGCAAUGUGCGCAAGCACGACAAGGUUAAUCCGAGUGUUUCCUGCUAAAGGAAUCUUUUGUUAGUCCUAAAAACACUAGCGAAUAAGGGGUGGGCAAGUUCUGGUGUCAGCCGCCGCGGUAAAACCAGCACCUCAAGUGGUCAGGAGGAUUAUUGGGCCUAAAGCAUCCGUAGCCUGCUCUGUAAGUUUCCGGUUAAAUCCAUUAGCUCAACUGAUGGGCCGCCGGAAAAACUGCAGAGCUAGGGAGUGGGAGAGGUAGACGGUACUCGGUAGGAAGGGGUAAAAUCCUUUUGAUCUAUUGAUGACCACCUGUGGCGAAGGCGGUCUACCAGAACACGUCCGACGGUGAGGGAUGAAAGCUGGGGGAGCAAACCGGAUUAGAUACCCGGGUAGUCCCAGCUGUAAACGAUGCAGACUCGGUGAUGCCCUGGCUUGUGGCCAGUGCAGUGCCGCAGGGAAGCCGUUAAGUUUGCCGCCUGGGAAGUACGUACGCAGGUNUGAAACUUAAAGGAAUUGGCGGGGGGAGCAAAG
Molecule: ribosomal RNA, 854 nt
Filed under: uncultured marine archaeon
Lineage: Archaea
Description: bacterial SSU rRNA
Rfam family: Archaeal small subunit ribosomal RNA
Source: RNAcentral